RNAcentral lists this ribosomal RNA (311 nucleotides) under uncultured bacterium. RNAcentral's name for it is "bacterial SSU rRNA". It matches the Rfam family "Bacterial small subunit ribosomal RNA", at positions 184 to 507 of the family's 1533-position model. The record is from RNAcentral.
UAAUAGAAAUAAGUCGGGAAGAAAGUAUUUAUCGCCUCGAAAGGGAGGGGGGGUGCGGCCUAUCAGGUAGUUGGUGAGGUAAUGGCUCACCAAGCCUAUGACGGGUAGCCGGUCUGAGAGGAUGUCCGGCCGCAAUGGAACUGAGAACGGUCCAUACUCCUACGGGAGGCAGCAGUGGGGAAUAUUGGACAAUGGGCGAAAGCCUGAUCCAGCGAUUCUGCGUGAAGGAUGAAUCCUCGUGGGGUGUAAACUUCUUUUCUGGGAGAAGACGAAUGACGGUAUCUCAGGAAUAAGAGACGGCUAACUACGUG